GGCGUGAUGUUCAGGCGACUAAGGGACUCAUAAUCCUUCGGUCGUGGGUUCAAGCCCCACUCGCCCCA
Molecule: transfer RNA, 68 nt
Filed under: Microlunatus flavus
Lineage: Bacteria; Bacillati; Actinomycetota; Actinomycetes; Propionibacteriales; Propionibacteriaceae
Description: Friedmanniella flava tRNA_Met_CAT
Rfam family: tRNA
About the family: Transfer RNA (tRNA) molecules are approximately 80 nucleotides in length. Their secondary structure includes four short double-helical elements and three loops (D, anti-codon, and T loops).
Source: RNAcentral